GUAUAAAGGCAAAAGCGCGCUUGACUGCGAGACAGACACGUCGAGCAGGUACGAAAGUAGGUCUUAGUGAUCCGGUGGUUCUGUAUGGAAGGGCCAUCGCUCAACGGAUAAAAGGUACUCCGGGGAUAACAGGCUGAUACCGCCCAAGAGUUCAUAUCGACGGCGGUGUUUGGCACCUCGAUGUCGGCUCAUCACAUCCUGGGGCUGAAGCCGGUCCCAAGGGUAUGGCUGUUCGCCAUUUAAAGUGGUACGCGAGCUGGGUUUAGAACGUCGUGAGACAGUUCGGUCCCUAUCUGCCGUGGACGUUUGAGAUUUGAGAGGGGCUGCUCCUAGUACGAGAGGACCGGAGUGGACGAACCUCUGGUGUUCCGGUUGUCACGCCAGUGGCAUUGCCGGGUAGCUAUGUUCGGAAGAGAUAACCGCUGAAAGCAUCUAAGCGGGAAACUUGCCUCAAGAUGAGAUCUCACUGGAGCCUUGAGCUCCCUGAAGGGCCGUCGAAGACUACGACGUUGAUAGGUUGGGUGUGUAAGCGCUGUGAGGCGUUGAGCUAACCAAUACUAAUUGCCCGUGAGGCUUGACCAUAUAACACCCAAACAAUU
Molecule: ribosomal RNA, 599 nt
Filed under: Pseudomonas sp.
Lineage: Bacteria; Pseudomonadati; Pseudomonadota; Gammaproteobacteria; Pseudomonadales; Pseudomonadaceae
Description: partial 23S ribosomal RNA
Rfam family: Bacterial large subunit ribosomal RNA
Source: RNAcentral